CCCUUAGAUGUCCUGGGCUGCACGCGCGCUACACUGAUGUGUUCAAUAAGCACCUAACCUACUCCGAAGGGACUGGGUAACCUUUGCAAAGCACAUCGUGAUGGGGAUAGAUUAUUGCAAUUAUUAGUCUUGAACGAGGAAUUCCUAGUAAGCGCAAGUCAUCAGCUUGUGUUGAUUACGUCCCUGCCCUUUGUACACACCGCCCGUCGCUCCUACCGAUUGAAUGCUCAGGUGAGCCAUUCGGACUUUCAUCAUGCUGGUUUCCAGUUUUGAUGAAGGAAAGUCUUGCGAACCUUAUCAUUUAGAGGAAGGAGAAGUCGUAACA
RNAcentral lists this ribosomal RNA (325 nucleotides) under uncultured eukaryote. Its description in RNAcentral is "partial 18S ribosomal RNA". It matches the Rfam family "Eukaryotic small subunit ribosomal RNA", at positions 1470 to 1796 of the family's 1831-position model. The record is from RNAcentral.